GACAGAGAAUACUGGAAUUAUUUAAUAUUUAAUGUGAAGCCCUUUAGCUUCAAUCACACUUUGACAUCUUCGACUGCAUGAGGAAAUUAAAUUUUCAAUUUCUUGCUGGGUGAUCUUAUUCCAUUCUUCCUGAAGGGCAUUCCAUAAUUGCUCGGUUGUUUUAGGAUUUCUGGCUUUAGAACGUUCUCCAAGAAUAUUCCACGCAUUUUCAAUAGGAUUGAGAUCUGGGCUUUGAGCAGGCCAAUCCAUAACAAUAACCUUUUCAGCCUUGAGGAAGUUCAUGAACACCUUAGCCUUGUGACAUAGGACAUUGUCCUGCAUGAAUAUGGGGUGGUCGCUUAGUUGAAUUUCUCAGCAGAGGCAAGACAUGAUCUUUUACAAGUUGUUUAUAAACUCCUGCAUUUACCUUUCCGUGUAAUCGCACCAAAGAGCCCACACCAUCUCCAGAUAUCAUCCCCCAAACCAUGACACUUCCUCCACCGAAUUUAACACUAGUCUUAAGGAAUUUAGGCGACAAUUUUUCACCUACUUUUCAACGAACGUACCUUUUCCCGUCUGAGCCAAAUAGCAUAAACUUAGAUUCAUCACUGAAAUGCACCGUUUGCCAUUUUUUUUGAGACCAAAACACAUGCUCGGUUGCAAAGGUAAGAUGACACUUUUUAUUCUUGGAGCUUAUCAGUGGCUUCACUGCAGGUUAUUUUGCUUGUAAGGUCAUGUUCAACUAAACGACGAGACACAGUUUUUCGAGAUAAAGUUUUCUUCAGUACAAUGCUCAUUUCCCGAGAAACAGCAGCAGCAGUUUUAAAUCUGCCCUUUUUAACCAACUUUACCAUAGUACGAUCUUCUCUCUUGGUCGUUUUUCUUGGCCUACCUGUAGACUUUCUUGCUUCACACGAACCACAAUCAUCGUAGACCUUAAGAAUACCGUGUACAACACUUUUUGACUUGUUAACAAUCUUUGCAAUAGACCGAAUACUUAAAUUAUUCUUCUUUCGAAGCUUAAUAAUCUGCUGACGAAUUGGUAACGGAGUAAGUGCUCUUACUUGUAGGUCAUGUUCAACUAAACGACGAGACACAGUUUUUCGAGAUAAAGGUUUUUUCAGUUCAAUGCUCAUUUCCCGAGAAACAGCAGCAGCAGUUUUAAAUCUGCCCUUUUUAACCAUCUUUACCAUAGCAUGAUCUUCUCUCUUGGUCGUUUUUCUUGGCCUACCUGUAGACUUUCUUGCUUCACACGAACCACAAUCAUCGUAGACCUUAAGAAUACCGUGAACAACACUUUUUGACUUCUUAACAAGCCCUGCAAUAGACCCAAUACUUAAAUUAUCCUUCUCUCGAAGCUUAAUAAUCAGCUGACGAAUUGGUAACGGAGUAAGUGGCAUUAUAUUAACAAAGUACACUGCAGAUAGUGUUACGGCGAUCCUUCGGUGUAAGUACCGGAAGUGGCUUUGUUUACAUUUCUGAAGAUAACAGUAACCCUUUUCGC
RNAcentral lists this long non-coding RNA (1483 nucleotides) under Octopus vulgaris (common octopus). Lineage: Eukaryota; Metazoa; Mollusca; Cephalopoda; Octopoda; Octopodidae. The record is from RNAcentral.